GUCCUGAUAGUAUAAAUAUUACCCUGGUCUUGUAAACCAGAAAUGAAGAGACAUCUUCUCAGGACA
RNAcentral lists this transfer RNA (66 nucleotides) under Lophuromys melanonyx (black-clawed brush-furred rat). RNAcentral describes it as "tRNA-Thr". Lineage: Eukaryota; Metazoa; Chordata; Mammalia; Rodentia; Muridae. The record is from RNAcentral.